This is a long non-coding RNA of Carassius auratus (goldfish), 890 nucleotides long. RefSeq lists it as uncharacterized. The transcript has 3 exons. The record is from RefSeq and is a predicted model, not a curated record. NCBI's taxonomy places the organism in Eukaryota, Metazoa, Chordata, Actinopteri, Cypriniformes, Cyprinidae.
GCAGGAAGGAGGAAAGUGGAAAGAUCCAGUGUUAAUGAAAGGGAUUAGUGGGUGUGCCGGGACCAGCGAAAAAAAGGAGUCUGGUGCCUUGUCGUGGCUGUGACAUUUCCUCUGCCAUCUGCUGCAUCGGUGCCCCCAACGUCCAGGAACUAAUCCCCGGUCCUAUGUGGUUUUGACCCUAAUUCACUGUGAGCUUUUGGAGUGCAGUGGGCUGGGAGAGAAAACCCUGUGGGGAAGAACGUGCACCGGUGUUGUGAGACAACCGUCUUUUAUAUACAUGCCCGCUCGUGGCUUUGGACCCCUACUCCACCGAGUGGUGACGUGUCAACAAUAGCAAGUAAGGAACAGUGUGCAUAUUGUGGGGGACGAUGACUGCGACGUGUUGGCUGCUAUAUGAACAUCCAGCACUGUAGCCCUUGUGUAUGAAUACCUGUUUGUGGAGUGCUUUCCGAGGUUCGCCCCUGUCUAGAUCUCUGGUCCGUUGUCUGGAAGAGAGGAGAGGGAAGCGUUCGAGUCAUUCCUGAGGUACAUACCCGGUGGCACAAACCUACCUGAAGUCACCCAGCGUGGUGGCACCAGCUGAGGCCGUGGAAGGCCCAACGUGCAGCAACUUCAAUCUGUACUUCUAUCCACUCUUGGUCAAAUUCAAGAGGUGGUGAGUCUUUCUCCAUAUAUUCACUGAAGCUAAGUAAAUUUGUGAAGGAACUCUGUCUGUCUGUUACCAGUCCUACAGGUCUGAGCUUGAGGCUCUGAGCCAUCAUGGGAGUGUUUCCACGGUUGGAGGUGACCGGUUUGAGUGUUGGUCUGGGAAGUCUGCCCCAGUGAAGAAGACCACAGUUGUCGUGACAUAUACACAUUCUCUAGACUCCCGAGCUGAAAAGGGCUUAAGC